This 1576-nucleotide ribosomal RNA is filed under the name Escherichia coli. RNAcentral describes it as "partial 23S ribosomal RNA". It matches the Rfam family "Bacterial large subunit ribosomal RNA", at positions 1291 to 2847 of the family's 2925-position model. The record is from RNAcentral. Lineage: Bacteria; Pseudomonadati; Pseudomonadota; Gammaproteobacteria; Enterobacterales; Enterobacteriaceae.
CGAAUGCUGACAUAAGUAACGAUAAAGCGGGUGAAAAGCCCGCUCGCCGGAAGACCAAGGGUUCCUGUCCAACGUUAAUCGGGGCAGGGUGAGUCGACCCCUAAGGCGAGGCCGAAAGGCGUAGUCGAUGGGAAACAGGUUAAUAUUCCUGUACUUGGUGUUACUGCGAAGGGGGGACGGAGAAGGCUAUGUUGGCCGGGCGACGGUUGUCCCGGUUUAAGCGUGUAGGCUGGUUUUCCAGGCAAAUCCGGAAAAUCAAGGCUGAGGCGUGAUGACGAGGCACUACGGUGCUGAAGCAACAAAUGCCCUGCUUCCAGGAAAAGCCUCUAAGCAUCAGGUAACAUCAAAUCGUACCCCAAACCGACACAGGUGGUCAGGUAGAGAAUACCAAGGCGCUUGAGAGAACUCGGGUGAAGGAACUAGGCAAAAUGGUGCCGUAACUUCGGGAGAAGGCACGCUGAUAUGUAGGUGAAGUCCCUCGCGGAUGGAGCUGAAAUCAGUCGAAGAUACCAGCUGGCUGCAACUGUUUAUUAAAAACACAGCACUGUGCAAACACGAAAGUGGACGUAUACGGUGUGACGCCUGCCCGGUGCCGGAAGGUUAAUUGAUGGGGUCAGCGCAAGCGAAGCUCUUGAUCGAAGCCCCGGUAAACGGCGGCCGUAACUAUAACGGUCCUAAGGUAGCGAAAUUCCUUGUCGGGUAAGUUCCGACCUGCACGAAUGGCGUAAUGAUGGCCAGGCUGUCUCCACCCGAGACUCAGUGAAAUUGAACUCGCUGUGAAGAUGCAGUGUACCCGCGGCAAGACGGAAAGACCCCGUGAACCUUUACUAUAGCUUGACACUGAACAUUGAGCCUUGAUGUGUAGGAUAGGUGGGAGGCUUUGAAGUGUGGACGCCAGUCUGCAUGGAGCCGACCUUGAAAUACCACCCUUUAAUGUUUGAUGUUCUAACGUGGACCCGUGAUCCGGGUUGCGGACAGUGUCUGGUGGGUAGUUUGACUGGGGCGGUCUCCUCCUAAAGAGUAACGGAGGAGCACGAAGGUUGGCUAAUCCUGGUCGGACAUCAGGAGGUUAGUGCAAUGGCAUAAGCCAGCUUGACUGCGAGCGUGACGGCGCGAGCAGGUGCGAAAGCAGGUCAUAGUGAUCCGGUGGUUCUGAAUGGAAGGGCCAUCGCUCAACGGAUAAAAGGUACUCCGGGGAUAACAGGCUGAUACCGCCCAAGAGUUCAUAUCGACGGCGGUGUUUGGCACCUCGAUGUCGGCUCAUCACAUCCUGGGGCUGAAGUAGGUCCCAAGGGUAUGGCUGUUCGCCAUUUAAAGUGGUACGCGAGCUGGGUUUAGAACGUCGUGAGACAGUUCGGUCCCUAUCUGCCGUGGGCGCUGGAGAACUGAGGGGGGCUGCUCCUAGUACGAGAGGACCGGAGUGGACGCAUCACUGGUGUUCGGGUUGUCAUGCCAAUGGCACUGCCCGGUAGCUAAAUGCGGAAGAGAUAAGUGCUGAAAGCAUCUAAGCACGAAACUUGCCCCGAGAUGAGUUCUCCCUGACCCUUUAAGGGUCCUGAAGGAACGUUGAAGACGA